GACGAACGCUGGCGGCGUGCUUAACACAUGCAAGUCGAACGGUAAGGCCCUUCGGGGUACACGAGUGGCGAACGGGUGAGUAACACGUGGGUGAUCUGCCCUGCACUUCGGGAUAAGCCUGGGAAACUGGGUCUAAUACCGGAUAGGACCCUGGGAUGCAUGUCCUGGGGUGGAAAGCUUUUGCGGUGUGGGAUGGGCCCGCGGCCUAUCAGCUGGUGGGUGGGGUGAUGGCCUACCAAGGCGACGACGGGUAGCCGGCCGGAGAGGGUGACCGGCGACACUGUGACUGAGAUACGGCCCAUGCUCCUACGGGAUGCAGCAGUGGGGAAUAUUGCACAAUGGGCGCAAGCCUGAUGCAGCGACGCCGCGUGAGGGAUGACGGGCUUCGGGUUGUAAACCCCUUUCAGCACCGACGAAGCGCAAGUGACGGUAGGUGCAGAAGAAGGACCGGCCAACUACGUGCCAGCCGCCGCCGUAA
Molecule: ribosomal RNA, 478 nt
Filed under: uncultured bacterium
Lineage: Bacteria
Description: partial 16S ribosomal RNA
Rfam family: Bacterial small subunit ribosomal RNA
Source: RNAcentral